This 536-nucleotide ribosomal RNA is filed under the name Trigonopterus sp. 854 AR-2022a. RNAcentral describes it as "partial large subunit ribosomal RNA". It matches the Rfam family "Bacterial large subunit ribosomal RNA", at positions 1819 to 2625 of the family's 2925-position model. The record is from RNAcentral. Lineage: Eukaryota; Metazoa; Arthropoda; Insecta; Coleoptera; Curculionidae.
GGCUUGUUGAUUUUAAUUUCAAGUCUUACCUGCCCAAUGAGGAGUUGAAUGGCCGCAGUAUACUGACUGUGCAAAGGUAGCAUAAUCAUUAGUUUCUUAAUUGGAAGCUCGUAUGAAAGGUUUGAUGAGAAAAUGACUGUCUCUAUAAAAAUUUUAUAGAAUUUUAUUUUUAAGUAAAAAAGCUUAAAUGAGUAUAGAAGACGAGAAGACCCUAUAGAGUUUUAUAUUUUUAAAAAAAAUUUUAUUUUUAGAAUUAUAAGAGGAUUUUUUAUAUAAGUAUUUUGUUGGGGCGAUAGAAAAAUUAGUUAAACUUUUUUUACAUGAGAACACUGAUUAGUGAGUAAAUGAUCCUAAAAUUUAGAUUAAAAGAUUAAAUUACCUUAGGGAUAACAGCGUAAUUUUUUUUAGAGUUCUUAUCGAAGAAAAAGAUUGCGACCUCGAUGUUGGAUUAAAAUUUAUAAUUGGUGAAGAGGCUAAUUUAUUAGGUCUGUUCGACCUUUAAAAUUUUACAUGAUCUGAGUUUAAACCGGCGUGAG